This 305-nucleotide unclassified non-coding RNA is filed under the name plant metagenome. Its description in RNAcentral is "partial contains 5.8S ribosomal RNA, internal transcribed spacer 2, and large subunit ribosomal RNA". The stretch from base 1 to 105 matches the Rfam family "5.8S ribosomal RNA", at positions 50 to 154 of the family's 154-position model. The record is from RNAcentral.
GAAAUGCGAUAAGUAGUGUGAAUUGCAGAAUUCAGUGAAUCAUCGAAUCUUUGAACGCACAUUGCGCCCCUUGGUAUUCCAUGGGGCAUGCCUGUUCGAGCGUCAUCUACACCCUCAAGCUCUGCUUGGUGUUGGGCGUCUGUCCCGCCCCCGCGCGUGGACUCGCCGCAAAUCCAUUGGCAGCGUUCCUUGCCCCCUCUCGCGCAGCACAUUGCGCUUCUCGAGGGCGGCUCCGGGACGCGAUCCAGCAAGAUGACCACCGUCUUUGACCUCGGAUCAGGUAGGGAUACCCGCUGAACUUAAGC